AGUUGCUACUAGGGGAGCCUUGAUGGCUGAGAUGUAAUUUACAGACCCUUUGAACUUGAGACUAGGUAAUACUAGCGGAAGAAAGUGCACGAAAAAACAG
This 100-nucleotide non-coding RNA is filed under the name Aerococcus urinae. RNAcentral describes it as "TPP sequence". It matches the Rfam family "TPP riboswitch aptamer (THI element)". From Rfam's summary of the family: Vitamin B(1) in its active form thiamin pyrophosphate (TPP) is an essential coenzyme that is synthesised by coupling of pyrimidine and thiazole moieties in bacteria. The previously detected thiamin-regulatory element, thi box was extended, resulting in a new, highly conserved RNA secondary structure, the THI element, which is widely distributed in eubacteria and also occurs in some archaea. Analysis of operon structures identified a large number of new candidate thiamin-regulated genes, mostly transporters, in various prokaryotic organisms. Lineage: Bacteria; Bacillati; Bacillota; Bacilli; Lactobacillales; Aerococcaceae. The record is from RNAcentral.